Molecule: unclassified non-coding RNA, 520 nt
Filed under: uncultured Entrophospora
Lineage: Eukaryota; Fungi; Glomeromycota; Glomeromycetes; Entrophosporales; Entrophosporaceae
Description: SSU rRNA
Rfam family: Eukaryotic small subunit ribosomal RNA
Source: RNAcentral
AGCAGCCGCGGUAAUUCCAGCUCCAAUAGCGUAUAUUAAAGUUGUUGCAGUUAAAAGCUCGUAGUUGAAUUUCGGGAUUGGCGCAUCGGUCGUGCCUCACGGGGUAUGAACUGGUGCAGUCAAUUUCUCACCUUCUGGAGAACCGCGAUGUCCUUAAUUGGAUGCCGCGGGGAACCAGGACCUUUACUUUGAAAAAAUUAGAGUGUUUAAAGCAGGCUAUUUUUGCUUGAAUACAUUAGCAUGGAAUAAUAAAAUAGGACGGCAUGGUUCUAUUUUGUUGGUUUCUAGGACCACCGUAAUGAUUAAUAGGGAUAGUUGGGGGCAUUAGUAUUCAAUUGUCAGAGGUGAAAUUCUUGGAUUUAUUGAAGACUAACUACUGCGAAAGCAUUUGCCAAGGAUGUUUUCAUUAAUCAAGAACGAAAGUUAGGGGAUCGAAGACGAUCAGAUACCGUCGUAGUCUUAACCAUAAACUAUGCCGACUAGGAAUCAGACGAUGUUUAAUUUUUUAAUGUACUUCGUU